This 495-nucleotide long non-coding RNA is filed under the name Elaeis guineensis (African oil palm). Its description in RNAcentral is "long non-coding RNA (EGUI_LNC016496)". The record is from RNAcentral. Lineage: Eukaryota; Viridiplantae; Streptophyta; Magnoliopsida; Arecales; Arecaceae.
GCUUUUGUUGUGUUCUCGUUAUGUUAUUGUCCUUGUGCCUUUUGUUGUGUGCUCGUUAUGUUAUUGUCCUUGUGCCUCAGCAUCUUUGCUUGCUUUAGUAAUAUUUUGAAUUGCUCGGUGUAUUCAAGCUUGUAUCAACUGCUAUGUAUCACGUAAAAUUUUUGUCUAAUCUACCCUUAUCCAGCUGUUUUGAUUUGCGGAUCAUGGUGCAAAACGAACGUUCCCUUCCAUGGAUGGCAUAAUUUUUCCGUUAACCCCACGAAGGGGGGACAUUGGCAACUACCUUCGGAUUGUGAUUUGAACCGCAGGACGUGAAUUGGACUGUAUAACCAUUUCACAAUCGCUAAGGAAAAAAAAACUGGCUCAGGCGAUAUAGAUUUUUAAGAGGGACUUGAUUCGCGAUCGAAAUUGAAAUCGGAAUUAAAGUCGAAAUGGUUUGGAAUCGAAAUCAGAAUGAUUAAAUUUUUCGAAGUGCUUAGUUCGUGAUCGAAAUUG